This 110-nucleotide ribosomal RNA is filed under the name Pogona vitticeps (central bearded dragon). The record is from RNAcentral. Lineage: Eukaryota; Metazoa; Chordata; Lepidosauria; Squamata; Agamidae.
CGCAUACAGUAUUUCACCCAGAACACACCUGAUCUUGUCUGAUUUUGGAAGCUAAGCAGGUUUAGACCUGGCUCGUACAAGGACGGGAGAGAAGGUAAGGCUGGAUUCCC